AGUGAACGCUGGCGGUAGGCCUAACACAUGCAAGUCGAACGGCAGCACAGUAAGAGCUUGCUCUUACGGGUGGCGAGUGGCGGACGGGUGAGGAAUACAUCGGAAUCUACUUUUUCGUGGGGGAUAACGUAGGGAAACUUACGCUAAUACCGCAUACGACCUACGGGUGAAAGCAGGGGAUCUUCGGACCUUGCGCGAUUGAAUGAGCCGAUGUCGGAUUAGCUAGUUGGCGGGGUAAAGGCCCACCAAGGCGACGAUCCGUAGCUGGUCUGAGAGGAUGAUCAGCCACACUGGAACUGAGACACGGUCCAGACUCCUACGGGAGGCAGCAGUGGGGAAUAUUAGACAAUGGGCGCAAGCCUGAUCCAGCCAUACCGCGUGGGUGAAGAAGGCCUUCGGGUUGCAAAGCCCUUUUGUUGGGAAAGAAAAGCAGCAGGUUAAUACCCCGCUGUUCUGACGGUACCCAAAGAAUAAGCACCGGCUAACUUCGUG
Molecule: ribosomal RNA, 492 nt
Filed under: uncultured bacterium
Lineage: Bacteria
Description: partial 16S ribosomal RNA
Rfam family: Bacterial small subunit ribosomal RNA
Source: RNAcentral